ACUCCUACGGGAGGCAGCAGUGGGGAAUAUUGCACAAUGGGGGAAACCCUGAUGCAGCCAUGCCGCGUGUGUGAAGAAGGCCUUCGGGUUGUAAAGCACUUUCAGUAGGGAGGAAGGUAGUGUAGUUAACACCUGCACUAUUUGACGUUACCUACAGAAGAAGCACCGGCUAACUCCGUGCCAGCAGCCGCGGUAAGUACGGAGGGUGCGAGCGUUAAUCGGAAUUACUGGGCGUAAAGCGCAUGCAGGCGGCCUGUUAAGUCAGAUGUGAAAGCCCGGGGUCUUAACCUCGGAAUUGCAUUUGAAACUGGCAGGCUAGAGUCUUGUAGAGGGGUUAGAAUUUCAGGUGUAGCGGUGAAAUGCGUAGAGAUCUGAAGGAAUACCGAGUGGCGAAGGCGGCCCCUGGACAAAGACUGACGCUCAGAUGCGAAAGCGUGGGAGCAAACAGGAUUAGAUACCCCUGGUAGACUGUCA
RNAcentral lists this ribosomal RNA (474 nucleotides) under uncultured bacterium. RNAcentral describes it as "bacterial SSU rRNA". It matches the Rfam family "Bacterial small subunit ribosomal RNA", at positions 335 to 802 of the family's 1533-position model. The record is from RNAcentral.